UUGGUCUCAGAUCAGACAAGAAAACCCGCUGAACUUAAGCAUAUUAAUAAGCGGAGGAAGGGAAACUAAUAAGGAUUCCCUCAGUAACGGCGAGUGAAGUGGGAUGAGCUCAAAUUUUAAAUCUGUCUCUUUUAAAAAGGACUGAAUUGUAGUUUCGAGAAGUGUUUUCGAGCGAGGGGCAAGUCAAAGUCUUCAGGAUUUAAGCGUCAUAGAGGGUGAGAGUCCCGUUAAAGACUUGCUACUUCUAAGCUUGUGUGAUACACUUUCAAAGAGUCAGGUUGUUUGGGAUUGCAGCCUAAAUUGGGUGGUAAUUACCAUCUAAAGCUAAAUAUCGGUGGGAGACCGAUAGUGAACAAGUACCGUGAGGGAAAGAUGAAAAGAACUUUGAAAAGAGAGUUAAAGAGUGCCUGAAAUUGUCGAAAGGGAAGCGCUUGAAGCCAGUCAUGCGGCAGAGAAUCAACAAAUUACUUUGUGGUAAUUGUGCAAUUCUCUUUAAACAUGAAGGAUUUCGUCCUUUAUGGUCGCGAGUCAACAUCAAUUUAUUUCGCGGGAAAAGAGAAGAGUAGAGACUCUUUGAGUAAUACUUUUUUUAAAUACCGCGA
Molecule: ribosomal RNA, 602 nt
Filed under: Synchytrium sp. DAOM 240977
Lineage: Eukaryota; Fungi; Chytridiomycota; Chytridiomycetes; Synchytriales; Synchytriaceae
Description: eukaryotic LSU rRNA
Rfam family: Eukaryotic large subunit ribosomal RNA
Source: RNAcentral